AUACUUACCUGGCAGCGGAGAUACCAAGAUCAGGAAGGUGGUUUUCCCAGGGCGAGGCUUAUCCAUUGCACUCUGAAUGUGCUGACCCCUGAGAUUUCCCCAAAUGUGAAAAACUCAACUGCAUAAUUUGUGGUACUGGGGGACUGCUGUUCGCACUCUCCCCUU
RNAcentral lists this small nuclear RNA (165 nucleotides) under Erinaceus europaeus (western European hedgehog). RNAcentral describes it as "U1 spliceosomal RNA". It matches the Rfam family "U1 spliceosomal RNA". Rfam says of the family: U1 is a small nuclear RNA (snRNA) component of the spliceosome (involved in pre-mRNA splicing). Its 5' end forms complementary base pairs with the 5' splice junction, thus defining the 5' donor site of an intron. There are significant differences in sequence and secondary structure between metazoan and yeast U1 snRNAs, the latter being much longer (568 nucleotides as compared to 164 nucleotides in human). Lineage: Eukaryota; Metazoa; Chordata; Mammalia; Eulipotyphla; Erinaceidae. The record is from Rfam by way of RNAcentral.